GGGGGUGAGGUUUUUAACGAGGCGGUGUCAUGUAAUAUACAAGAGAAAAAUCCCCCGCAAAAUUCACGUCGAAAAAAGACCGCAUCAACGGUCUUCGACAUUCGACUAAUACAAAGUCACCGCGAGGCCCAGCAGCAGCCGCCCUCGCGUGCGACAAAUCCGUGCAGAAGUCGCCUAAGGGUGCAGCCGGACUAGCACAACAAGUGCGAAAAAUUGAAGUCUUCCACGAAGACUAUCCGCGCAGAAGUCGCCUAAAGGUGCAGCCGGACUAGCACAAUAAGUGCGAAAAAUCGAAGUCUUCCACGAAGACUAUCCGCGCAGAAGUCGCCUAAGGGUGCAGCCGGACUAGCACAACAAGUGCGAAAAAUCGAAGUCUUCCACGAAGACUAUCCGCGCAGAAGUCGCCUAAAGGUGCAGCCGG
This 421-nucleotide long non-coding RNA is filed under the name Zea mays. RNAcentral's name for it is "long non-coding RNA (ZMAY_LNC002931)". The record is from RNAcentral. Lineage: Eukaryota; Viridiplantae; Streptophyta; Magnoliopsida; Poales; Poaceae.